UACGGAGGAUCCGAGCGUUAUCCGGAUUUAUUGGGUUUAAAGGGUGCGCAGGCGGGGGAUUAAGUCGGCGGUGAAAUUUUGCAGCUCAACUGUAAAAGUGCCUUCGAAACUGGUUUCCUUGAGUGUAGAUGAAGUAGGCGGAAUUUGUGGUGUAGCGGUGAAAUGCUUAGAUAUCACGCAGAACUCCGAUUGCGAAGGCAGCUUACUAAACUACUACUGACGCUCAGGCACGAAGGCGUGGGGAUCAAACAGGAUUAGAUACCCGCGUAGUCCCUGA
This 277-nucleotide ribosomal RNA is filed under the name uncultured prokaryote. RNAcentral describes it as "partial 16S ribosomal RNA". It matches the Rfam family "Bacterial small subunit ribosomal RNA", at positions 524 to 800 of the family's 1533-position model. The record is from RNAcentral.